AUUUGGAGUGAUGGUGUUUGUUUUCCCAAGUAACUGUUACACGUGAUGGGGCCUUGCUCUCCUGGGGAUAGCUGAACACCUGGCAGCUCAUGAGAAUGGCACAAACUCGUAGGCAGGGCUGUGGCAAGGAGCCUUGGCUGUGACGGGAGUUACUAUGCAAAACAAGAUGGUAGAACUCUUUUCCUGCCCACCUCACGGAGAUGCUGUUUCAUCCCACCAACCUUCCCAUGGCCAUCCCCUGCUUGAAAAAAAGGGGAAGGAAAGAUUUCAGGGACCACAAACCUGCAGCUGGGAAAGAGCAAGAAGAGGAGGCAGCUGGGUGCAGCACCCUUCCCUGCCAAACGCUUGGCUUCCCCAUGCUUUGUCUGUGCAGCAGGGAGGAUAGCAUUCCCCCUUUUCUAUGAGGGCUAGGCACAUGAACAA
Passer domesticus (house sparrow) is the source of this 423-nucleotide long non-coding RNA. RefSeq lists it as uncharacterized. The transcript is spliced from 3 exons. NCBI's taxonomy places the organism in Eukaryota, Metazoa, Chordata, Aves, Passeriformes, Passeridae. The record is from RefSeq and is a predicted model, not a curated record.